Long non-coding RNA from Lynx canadensis (Canada lynx), 327 nucleotides. RefSeq lists it as uncharacterized. The transcript has 3 exons. Lineage: Eukaryota; Metazoa; Chordata; Mammalia; Carnivora; Felidae. The record is from RefSeq and is a predicted model, not a curated record.
UCAAGAGACAAAUGACGUAUUCAAAUCUGUAUUUUAAAAGGGGUAUAUCCCGGCUGCUGUGUGGAGAAUGGAGAAGAGGAGGCAGGGUAACCACGGCCAUGACAUCUUCCGCCUGGUUCAGGAUACAGACAAUGAACACAAAAGUGAAUGCAUUCAAGAGGAAAAUUCAAGAUAUCAUCAGAUGAAGGAAAACUAAGAAAAUGUGUUGCUAAAGAACACAGUAAGCAAAAUUACAGUGAUCAUGGAAAUAUGGAUCCACCUGAUGCAGCUACCCCCUCCCAACUUCAACUCAGGUCAAGAUCUCGCAGUCCGUGAGUUCGAGCCCCG